CCCCAAAAAAAAUUUUUGGGUUCGUAUAAUGGUAUGAUGUCGUCAUCUGCGUCGUCGUCGUCCGAAGACACUUUGGUUUCCGGAUAAUAACUUUAGUUUAAGUAAAUAGAUCUUAAUGAAAUUUUUUCAGAAGGUUCAAUACCAGAAAAGGAAGGUUGGGAUUUAUUUUGGGGAUGAUGGUCCUAACCAUUUAGGAAUUAGGGGCCCAAAAGUGGCCAA
RNAcentral lists this long non-coding RNA (219 nucleotides) under Mytilus galloprovincialis (Mediterranean mussel). The record is from RNAcentral. Lineage: Eukaryota; Metazoa; Mollusca; Bivalvia; Mytilida; Mytilidae.